This 460-nucleotide ribosomal RNA is filed under the name uncultured bacterium. Its description in RNAcentral is "partial 16S ribosomal RNA". It matches the Rfam family "Bacterial small subunit ribosomal RNA", at positions 338 to 795 of the family's 1533-position model. The record is from RNAcentral.
CCUACGGGAGGCAGCAGUGAGGAAUAUUGGUCAAUGGACGAGAGUCUGAACCAGCCAAGCCGCGUGAAGGAUGACUGCUCUAUGGGUUGUAAACUUCUUUUAUAAAGGAAUAAAACGAGGCACGUGUGCCUUUUUGCAUGUACUUUAUGAAUAAGGAUCGGCUAACUCCGUGCCAGCAGCCGCGGUAAUACGGAGGAUCCGAGCGUUAUCCGGAUUUAUUGGGUUUAAAGGGAGCGUAGAUGGGUUGUUAAGUCAGUUGUGAAAGGUUGCGGCUCAACCGUAAAAGUGCAAUGGAUACUGGCAGUCUGGAGUACAGGUGAGGUAGGCGGAAUUCGUGGUGUAGCGGUGAAAUGCUUAGAUAUCACGAAGAACCCCGAUUGCGAAGGCAGCUUACUAAACUGUGACUGACAUUGAGGCUCGAAAGUGUGGGUAGCAAACAGGAUUAGAUACCCCAGUAGUC